CGGGGGUGGAGGGCAAGACCUCCGUUCAUUUUCAAAGCUUUCUUUCUCAGGGCUUCCCAAACCCUUACCGAGCAAACCGAAUCAGCUGAGGUCUUGUUAAAAUGCAUGUUCUAAUUCAAUAGACCUGGGGCGGAGCCUGAAAUCCUGCAUUUCUAACAAGCUCUCAGGUGGUGCCGAAGCUGGAGCUUUCAGCAUUUCUGCAUUGUUGUUUUGAUGUGGCCUGGGAGUAAGAAGUAGACCCGAAAAGCGGGCCCCAUUCUACUCCUUGCCUUUCAGAGGUAGUGGAGAGGAAGAAGAAAUCAAAAUGAGAAACAACAAAAGAAAAAGAGGGCCGCUUUCUUUUAACGUGCCAGUCUCACGAGCCUCCUGCCGUUCUUGAUCAGAAGAGUGACUGACGUGGCAGGCGCCCCAGUCAAGGUGUGAACUGAUCCUGUUGACUAGGUGCGACUCUGGAUCCUAGCAUUGCAGCUUUGAGAUGCUGAGAUGUUGACAUCCAGUUCUGAGGAGAAAGAGACUGAAUCCACCACUACGUGGGGCUCAGCGUGGCUCCUCACCACAAGAUGAAUGGAUUUGGGAUUAUUAGGAGGAGCACUCUUAACAUGAAGAUUAACACAGUCUGGAAGGCACUUCAUUCGGCAAUAUCAAUGGUGCAAGGCUCCUUCCUGGACCUUGACAGGCCCCAGGCUAGCCCCCUGAGAUAGCUGAAGUGGAGUAGACUGUGGUAGCACCAGACCAUGAGUGUGGCUGACGGUGUGGAGUGUGAGCAUGUGCAAGGCCCCUUGGGGUCUCAUACAAGUAUUCAUGGGGACCGAGAAUGAGGCUCCUUGAUGUUGAUGAGCCUUCUCUGUAGCCACAGGCAGUGAGGACUGACAGCAUUCAGGUUAUACACCAAAUCAUGCCAAUUGCUCUUGUGCAACAAUAUCCUUCCAUCCAAGAACAAGGUCCAGCAGGACAGUAGUUAGUUUCCAAGCUCAUGGGAGGCUGAAUAGCAGAAAAGAUAUGAAAGCCAGCUCUAUAAUCAGACUGCCUGGGUUUCUCACUAUAAUCAGACUAACCAUGAAACCUUAACCUUUUGAUACCUUGGGUAUCAAAAUACCCAAGAGAAUAAUAAUAAAAUGUAAUUCAUAGGUCUAUGAGAAUUAACAAGUAAAACUCAUGACAGCCUUAGAACAGUGACAGACAUGUAUAAACCCCAAGAAAGGUCAGCAGUUUGUAUUAUUACACAAUGUACCAGGAUACUUAAAACAGCAUCAUGGAGACUGAUUCAGCUCUUUUCUAGAAACAAAAGAAGCAGGAGGAGGGCUGAUUGGUCUCUGGAUCCCCAUGGGGCUAGUGAGUCUAGGAGUUAGAAGACAAUGAGAUUGCAACACUAUUUAUAACAGCCAGGAUAUGGAAGUGACCUAGAUGUCCAUCAGGAGAUGAAUGGGUCAAGAAGUUGUGGUCCUUAUAUACAAUGGAAUAUACUCAGCCAUAAAAAAAGAAUGAAUUUGAGCCCUAAUGAGGUAGAUGAUCCUAGAGCCUGUUAUACAGAGUGAAGUAAGUCAGAAAGAAAAAAACAAAUAUCCUAUAUUAACGCAUACAUAUGGAGUCUAGAAAGAUGAACCUCUUUGCAGGGGAGGAAUAGAGAUGCAGACAUAGAGAACAGACUUGUGAGCGCAGCAGAGGAAGGAGAAGGUGGGACAAAUUGAGAGAGUAGCGCUGAAACAUAUGCAUUACCAUAUGUAAAAUAGUUGUGUCCAACUCUUUGUGACCCCAUGGACUAUAGCCCGCCAGGUUCUUCCAUCCAUGGGAUUUUCCAGGCAAGAAUACUGUAGUGGCUUGCCAUUUCCUUCUCCAGGGGAUCUUCCCAACCCAGGGAUUGAACCCCGGUCUCCAGCAUUGAAGGCAGAUUCUUUACCACUGAGCCACAAGGGAAGCCCCAUAAUACAGAUAGCUAGUGGAAAGUUGCUGUAUAACACAGGAAGCUCCAUCUGGCACUCUGUGACAACCUGGAGGGAUGGGAGGGUGGUUCAAGAAUGAGGGGACGUAUGUACACAUAUGGCUGAUUCAUGUUAUUGUCU
Molecule: long non-coding RNA, 2060 nt
Organism: Bos taurus (domestic cattle)
Lineage: Eukaryota; Metazoa; Chordata; Mammalia; Artiodactyla; Bovidae
Source: Ensembl